UCAGGCGACGCUGCGCGGCUAUACAUGCAAGUCGAGCGGAUGACAGAGGAGCUUGCUCCUCUCGAUUCAGCGGCGGACGGGUGAGUAACACGUGGGCAACCUGCCCUGUAGAUUGGGAUAACUCCGGGAAACCGGGGCUAAUACCGAAUAAUCCUUCGGACCUCAUGGUCCGAUGUUGAAAGGCGGCUUCGGCUGUCACUACAGGAUGGGCCCGCGGCGCAUUAGCUAGUUGGUGAGGUAACGGCUCACCAAGGCCACGAUGCGUAGCCGACCUGAGAGGGUGAUCGGCCACACUGGGACUGAGACACGGCCCAGACUCCUACGGGAGGCAGCAGUAGGGAAUCUUCCACAAUGGACGAAAGUCUGAUGGAGCAACGCCGCGUGAGUGAAGAAGGUUCUCGGAUCGUAAAACUCUGUUGUGAGGGAAGAACAAGUACCGGAGUAACUGCCGGUACCUUGACGGUACCUC
RNAcentral lists this ribosomal RNA (469 nucleotides) under Bacillus sp. 16H(2010). RNAcentral's name for it is "bacterial SSU rRNA". It matches the Rfam family "Bacterial small subunit ribosomal RNA", at positions 39 to 481 of the family's 1533-position model. The record is from RNAcentral. Lineage: Bacteria; Bacillati; Bacillota; Bacilli; Caryophanales; Bacillaceae.